This 22-nucleotide unclassified non-coding RNA is filed under the name Mus musculus (house mouse). Its description in RNAcentral is "oocyte_clustered_small_RNA8733". Lineage: Eukaryota; Metazoa; Chordata; Mammalia; Rodentia; Muridae. The record is from RNAcentral.
CCGCCUUCUUCACCUCCACGCG